UCACUGCUUAGGAGUCCCACAAUAGGACGAAACGGCCGUCCAGUGC
Molecule: non-coding RNA, 46 nt
Organism: Schistosoma mansoni
Lineage: Eukaryota; Metazoa; Platyhelminthes; Trematoda; Strigeidida; Schistosomatidae
Source: Rfam